CGGGCGCUGGACAGUGGCGCUCCUCCCCUGUCGUCCACGGUAACGGUCAGCAUCGACAUCUCCGACAUAAACGACAACGCCCCUGCCUUCUCUCCGGCCAAUGUCACCGCUGUCAUACAGGAGAACAAGCCCAUCGGUACCAGCAUCAUUCAGCUCUCUGUAAUGGACCUGGACUCCUCCCACAACGGGCCGCCCUUUGACUUCCGCAUCCUGACGGGGAACGAGGGGGGCGAGUUCGUCCUGGAGCGAGACGGGACGCUCACGGCCAAUCAGGUUUUCAGGAGAGACCUGGCGACAGAGUAUGUGCUGCAGAUCAAGGUGACAGACUCGGGGAAGCCGCGCCUCUCCUCCACGUCCCCC
Molecule: long non-coding RNA, 360 nt
Filed under: Neogobius melanostomus (round goby)
Lineage: Eukaryota; Metazoa; Chordata; Actinopteri; Gobiiformes; Gobiidae
Description: lncRNA (ENSNMLG00000018832.1)
Source: RNAcentral